AUUCUUUGUAGAACAUCAAAGGGCAACAGCUCCAGAGUGAACCCCUGAAUGUACCCAGCACUAGCUACUGUGGCUACUCUAAUGGCUCCAACAAAUGAAGCUAAACAUUGAGAGCAUUUGCAGAGUGUGACAAGUGUGGAUGGUAGUGGAGUGUCACAUACCCAGAGCUGGUGACGAGGGAGCUGAAGUGGGAGUGCGUCAAGACGACGUUUGUGGCAGCACACUCUGUAGCACAGCCUGCGUCGGCUCACUUGCUAGGCAACCUCUGAAUGCUGCCUUUCUCAAGUGUUUGGGAGGAGUUAUACCAUGAAAAUGACAGUGGAGCCUGCUCUGCUCUCUUGUUCCAUGGAAGAGUAUUGUCCAAGAGGUGGUGUCUUUUGCAGCUGCCAAAGUGUAAAAUUAUGGAGCUAAACCUCUUUGCUGAAAUGAUGUCCAAGGCUAAUUCAUCUGUCACAUGGCAUCCUACAUCUGGACACGCAAAAACUGUUUAUGGGAGAGUCCCCCACGGGACUCAUAUGGAUUUACAACAGAACAACUAAGAUUCUUAUGCAUGAAGACUGAUUGAAAAUGUAUAUGUAUAAAAAUAUCAGAAGAAAGAAUUCAAUCAGAAGAAUGACAAGAAUUGUUUACCAAGGAAACAGCUGUUUUAACUAAAAUCUGAAAAGUGUGUAUUUGCAUCAGGAUAAGAAAGCUGUUGCUCUGAUAAGGCCACAGUAGAGAUGACUUCUCAGCAGAAAGCUUGUGCUCUGAUAACAGGAGAAAGGCAACAAGCUACAACUCUGUGUGCUGUUUCUUCCCCUACCUGUUAUCCCAAGAGGAAUUUGGUCUAAGAUUUGUGGAAAAUGAAGCAAAAACAUAUCUUGAGGUAAAAGGUCAUGAUACCUAGUGUUGCUCCAGCUGUGUAUGAAAUAACCCUGGGUGAUGAUGCUUCCAGACUUAUUCCUUGGGGAAACCAAGCAGUAUUUAAUAAGCCUGUCUUUAUGAGGAAUUUUUCCUUCUUACUAGCCUAGAGUCCCCUGAAAUCAAACACAGUGUCCACAUCAUCAUAUUUAAAAAUCAGUAAGACUUUCAUUGAGGGAAAAAGCCCCAUAGAAACCCUUUGCAUUCAGAAUAGUAAAGUAAUGCCCAGAUCAAAAUUAAUUCUCAUAGGUAAACAUCUCCUGAUUUUAUAUGGAUCUGAAAUUUGGACCAGAAUUUUGUUUAGCAAAUAAUUAUUUUAUUGAAGGUUCUUUAAACUUGUUUGCUCUGAAAAUGACUGUCUGUGCAGCCACCAUAGGUCACUCGGUGGCUUGUGGGGAAGAUGUUUAAUUUUGCACAGAAAAAGUGUUCCAUUUUCUCUCCAAAAGGUGAAGUGAUGACUCUGUCUGCAAGACUGGAUGCUCAUUUUCAACAACAAUUUCUUUAAGGAAUAAGUAGUCAUUCAGUUGAGUGUCUUUUAAUGUUGUUAAUCCAGUUAAGUGCUUGUGCAAAGGAGCUAACAAUAAUGGCUAACCCAUCUGAAAGUCACCCAUAAUUGUCAGGAUCUGGCAAAAGGCUGCCUCAAACACACCGGCUCAUACCCUGCAGCUGACAUGUCUUCUUCCCUUGAAGCUCCCUUUCUGCACUUCUUUCUGUCUUGGUUUAUUUUGUCAUGUCAAGUAAUGUCAUAGCUGUGACAAUCUUGUUUCCAAAGUCUUUAGUACUCAUUCCUGACCAGUUUAUCUCAGAUAAACUCUUUUAUUCCCUUUCAGUAAUUUAUAAACUAUAGCUGGUGUCUUCAUAAGAUGGUUUUUCACAGCAUUUAAGUUUUAAAUUAUGUUAUUAUGGCCAUAAGCUAUAAGACAAAGGAUCAUGUAGUGGGAACGAUUUUCUGACAUGAAAAUCAGUUUUUGCAUAAUUCAAAUGUUCUGGAGAAAAAGAUGAAUAAAAAAUUUUGUUCUGGCUCUGCUCA
Molecule: long non-coding RNA, 1930 nt
Filed under: Serinus canaria (Common canary)
Lineage: Eukaryota; Metazoa; Chordata; Aves; Passeriformes; Fringillidae
Description: lncRNA (ENSSCAG00000009122.1)
Source: RNAcentral